This 55-nucleotide transfer RNA is filed under the name Argyroneta aquatica (water spider). RNAcentral's name for it is "tRNA-Pro". Lineage: Eukaryota; Metazoa; Arthropoda; Arachnida; Araneae; Dictynidae. The record is from RNAcentral.
UUCUUAAUAAUUUAUCUAAAAUAUCUACUUUGGAUGUAGAAUAAAUCUAUAAUUA